UAAAUGGCUUUUAUCAAAGCCACCAAAUGAAAUAAUUAAAAAAUA
Non-coding RNA from Helobdella robusta, 45 nucleotides. The record is from Rfam. NCBI's taxonomy places the organism in Eukaryota, Metazoa, Annelida, Clitellata, Rhynchobdellida, Glossiphoniidae.